UGGGGAAUAUUGGGCAAUGGGGCGCAAGCCUGACCCAGCAACGCCGCGUGAAGGAAGAAGGCUUUCGGGUUGUAAACUUCUUUUAAGAGGGAAGAGCAGAAGACGGUACCUCUAGAAUAAGCCACGGCUAACUACGUGCCAGCAGCCGCGGUAAUACGUAGGUGGCAAGCGUUGUCCGGAUUUACUGGGUGUAAAGGGCGUGUAGGCGGGAAGACAGGUCAGAUGUGAAAUACCGGGGCUCAACCCCGGAGCUGCAUUUGAAACCGUUUUCUUGAGUAUCGGAGAGGCAGGCGGAAUUCCUAGUGUAGCGGUGAAAUGCGUAGAUAUUAGGAGGAACACCAGUGGCGAAGGCGGCCUGCUGGACGACAACUGACGCUGAGGCGCGAAAGCGUGGGGAGCAAACAGGAUUAGAUA
This 414-nucleotide ribosomal RNA is filed under the name uncultured Oscillospiraceae bacterium. RNAcentral describes it as "bacterial SSU rRNA". It matches the Rfam family "Bacterial small subunit ribosomal RNA", at positions 355 to 784 of the family's 1533-position model. The record is from RNAcentral. Lineage: Bacteria; Bacillati; Bacillota; Clostridia; Eubacteriales; Oscillospiraceae.